RNAcentral lists this ribosomal RNA (492 nucleotides) under uncultured bacterium. Its description in RNAcentral is "partial 16S ribosomal RNA". It matches the Rfam family "Bacterial small subunit ribosomal RNA", at positions 29 to 507 of the family's 1533-position model. The record is from RNAcentral.
AGUGAACGCUGGCGGUAGGCCUAACACAUGCAAGUCGAACGGCAGCACAGUAAGAGCUUGCUCUUACGGGUGGUGAGUGGCGGACGGGUGAGGAAUACAUCGGAAUCUACUUUUUCGUGGGGGAUAACGUAGGGAAACUUACGCUAAUACCGCAUACGACCUACGGGUGAAAGCAGGAGAGCUUCGGACCUUGCGCGAUUGAAUGAGCCGAUGUCGGAUUAGCUAGUUGGCGGGGUAAAGGCCCACCAAGGCGACGAUCCGUAGCUGGUCUGAGAGGAUGAUCAGCCACACUGGAACUGAGACACGGUCCAGACUCCUACGGGAGGCAGCAGUGGGGAAUAUUGGACAAUGGGCGCAAGCCUGAUCCAGCCAUACCGCGUGGGUGAAGAAGGCCUUCGGGUUGUAAAGCCCUUUUGUUGGGAAAGAAAAGCAGCAGGUUAAUACCCCGCUGUUCUGACGGUACCCAAAGAAUAAGCACCGGCUAACUUCGUG